RNAcentral lists this ribosomal RNA (491 nucleotides) under uncultured bacterium. RNAcentral's name for it is "partial 16S ribosomal RNA". It matches the Rfam family "Bacterial small subunit ribosomal RNA", at positions 29 to 506 of the family's 1533-position model. The record is from RNAcentral.
AGUGAACGCUGGCGGUAGGCCUAACACAUGCAAGUCGAACGGCAGCACAGUAAGAGCUUGCUCUUACGGGUGGCGAGUGGCGGACGGGUGAGGAAUACAUCGGAAUCUACUUUUUCGUGGGGGAUAACGUAGGGAAACUUACGCUAAUACCGCAUACGACCUACGGGUGAAAGCAGGGGAUCUUCGGACCUUGCGCGAUUGAAUGAGCCGAUGUCGGAUUAGCUAGUUGGCGGGGUAAAGGCCCACCAAGGCGACGAUCCGUAGCUGGUCUGAGAGGAUGAUCAGCCACACUGGAACUGAGACACGGUCCAGACUCCUACGGGAGGCAGCGGUGGGGAAUAUUGGACAGUGGGCGCAAGCCUGAUCCAGCCAUACCGCGUGGGUGAAGAAGGCCUUCGGGUUGUAAAGCCCUUUUGUUGGGAAAGAAAAGCAGCAGGUUAAUACCCCGCUGUUCUGACGGUACCCAAAGAAUAAGCACCGGCUAACUUCGU